RNAcentral lists this ribosomal RNA (408 nucleotides) under uncultured bacterium. RNAcentral describes it as "partial 16S ribosomal RNA". It matches the Rfam family "Bacterial small subunit ribosomal RNA", at positions 29 to 526 of the family's 1533-position model. The record is from RNAcentral.
AGUGAACGCUGGCGGCGUGCCUAAUACAUGCAAGUCGAACGAAGUGGCGCACGGGUGAGUAAUAUAUAGUUAAUCUGCCCUACACAGUGGAACAACAGUUGGAAAAGACUGCUAAUACCUCAUAGUGUAGGAUGAGACUAUAUCGUAUCAGCUAGUUGGUAAGGUAAUGGCUUACCAAGGCUAUGACGCGUAACUGGUCUGAGAGGAUGCUCAGUCACAUUGGAACUGAGGCACGGUCCAGACUCCUACGGGAAGGAGCAGUAGGGAAUAUGACGCAAUGGGGGAGACCCAAACGGAGCUACGCCGCGUGGAAGAUGACACUUUGCGGAGCGUAAAGUCGUUUUAUAAGGAACGCGGUACCUAAUGAGUAAGCACCGGCUAACUCCGUGCCAGCAGCCGCGGUAAUAC